GAUGAAGAACGCAGCGAAAUGCGAUACGUAAUGUGAAUUGCAGAAUUCAGUGAAUCAUCGAAUCUUUGAACGCAUAUUGCGCUCUCUGGUAUUCCGGAGAGCAUGCUUGUUUGAGUAUCAGUAAACACCUCAACUUCCAUAUCUUUUUUGAAAUGGGAGUUGGACUUGAGUGAUCCCAACGCUUUUCCUCACCGAAAGGUGGCGGGUUACUUGAAAUGCAGGUGCAGCUGGACUUUUCUCUGAGCUAUAAGCAUAUCUAUUUAGUCUGCCUAAAAAACAGAUUAUUACCUUUGCUGCAGCUAACAUAAAGGAGAUUAGUUCUUGUGCUGACUGAUGCAGGAUUCACAAAGACAGCUUCGGCCGACUUUGUAAACUCGAUCUCAAAUCAAGUAAGACUACCCGCUGAACUUAAGCAUAUCAAUAAGCGGAGGA
Molecule: unclassified non-coding RNA, 432 nt
Filed under: soil metagenome
Description: partial contains 5.8S ribosomal RNA, internal transcribed spacer 2, and large subunit ribosomal RNA
Rfam family: 5.8S ribosomal RNA (bases 1-120)
Source: RNAcentral